RNAcentral lists this ribosomal RNA (534 nucleotides) under Parmotrema perforatum. RNAcentral describes it as "eukaryotic LSU rRNA". It matches the Rfam family "Eukaryotic large subunit ribosomal RNA", at positions 103 to 649 of the family's 3401-position model. The record is from RNAcentral. Lineage: Eukaryota; Fungi; Ascomycota; Lecanoromycetes; Lecanorales; Parmeliaceae.
AACAGCUCAAAUUUGAAAUCUGGCCCUUUCGGGGUCCGAGUUGUAAUUUGUAGAGAGUGCUUCGGGGGAGAUGGCGGUCUAAGUCCAUUGGAACAUGGUGUCAGAGAGGGUGAGAAUCCCGUACGUGACCGCGGAUCGAACCCGUGUGAAGCCUCUUCGACGAGUCGAGUUGUUUGGGAAUGCAGCUCAAAAUGGGUGGUAAAUUUCAUCUAAAGCUAAAUACUGGCUGGAGACCGAUAGCGCACAAGUAGAGUGAUCGAAAGAUGAAAAGCACUUUGGAAAGAGAGUUAAACAGUACGUGAAAUUGUUGAAAGGGAAGCGCUGGCAACCAGACCUGCCCGUGGGCGAUCAACCGCUGUUCUCAGCGGUGCACUCGUUCCGCGAUCAGGCCAGCAUCGGUUUCGGCGGUCGGAUAAAGGCCUUGGGAAUGUAGCUUCCUUCCGGGGGAGUCUUAUAGCCCUCGGUGCAAUGCGGCCAGCCGGGACCGAGGACCGCGCUUCGGCUAGGAUGCUGGCGUAAUGGUUGUCAGCGACC